CCCUCAUAGUGGGGGAUAACAGUCGGAAACGACUGCUAAUACCGCAUAGGACAUAGGAUCACAUGAUCCAGUGAGGAAAGGUGGCGCAAGCUAUCGCUAAGAGAUGGACCCGCGGUGCAUUAGCUAGUUGGUAGGGUAAAGGCCUACCAAGGCGAUGAUGCAUAGCCGACCUGAGAGGGUGAUCGGCCACAUUGGGACUGAGACACGGCCCAA
Molecule: ribosomal RNA, 213 nt
Filed under: uncultured bacterium
Lineage: Bacteria
Description: partial 16S ribosomal RNA
Rfam family: Bacterial small subunit ribosomal RNA
Source: RNAcentral